UACGUAGGUGGCAAGCGUUGUCCGGAUUUAUUGGGUUUAAAGGGUGCGUAGGCGGCUUUGUAAGUCAGUGGUGAAAUAUGGCAGCUCAACUGUCAGGGUGCCAUUGAUACUGCGGAGCUUGAGUACAGAUGAGGUAGGCGGAAUUGACGGUGUAGCGGUGAAAUGCUUAGAUAUCGUCAAGAACACCGAUAGCGAAGGCAGCUUACUAGGCUGUAACUGACGCUGAGGCACGAAAGUGUGGGGAUCAAAC
RNAcentral lists this ribosomal RNA (250 nucleotides) under uncultured bacterium. Its description in RNAcentral is "partial 16S ribosomal RNA". It matches the Rfam family "Bacterial small subunit ribosomal RNA", at positions 524 to 773 of the family's 1533-position model. The record is from RNAcentral.